GAGUUUGAUCCUGGCUCAGGACGAACGCUGGCGGCACGCCUAACACAUGCAAGUCGAACGGAGAUAUUUUGGUUUACUGAGAUAUCUUAGUGGCGGACGGGUGAGUAACACGUGAGCAACCUGCCUCUGAGAGAGGGAUAGCUUCUGGAAACGGAUGGUAAUACCUCAUAACAUAACGAAGCCGCAUGACUUUGUUAUCAAAGAUUUAUCACUCAGAGAUGGGCUCGCGUCUGAUUAGAUAGUUGGUGAGGUAACGGCUCACCAAGUCGACGAUCAGUAGCCGGACUGAGAGGUUGAACGGCCACAUUGGGACUGAGACACGGCCCAGACUCCUACGGGAGGCAGCAGUGGGGAAUAUUGCACAAUGGGGGAAACCCUGAUGCAGCGAUGCCGCGUGGAGGAAGAAGGUUUUCGGAUUGUAAACUCCUGUCUUAAAGGACGAUAAUGACGGUACUUUAGGAGGAAGCUCCGGCUAACUACGUGCCAGCAGCCGCGGUAAUACGUAGGGAGCGAGCGUUGUCCGGAAUUACUGGGUGUAAAGGGAGCGUAGGCGGGAUGGCAAGUCAGAUGUGAAAACUAUGGGCUCAACCCAUAGACUGCAUUUGAAACUGUUGCUCUUGAGUGAAGUAGAGGUAAGCGGAAUUCCUGGUGUAGCGGUGAAAUGCGUAGAUAUCAGGAGGAACAUCGGUGGCGAAGGCGGCUUACUGGGCUUUUACUGACGCUGAGGCUCGAAAGCGUGGGGAGCAACCAGGAUUAGAUACCCAGGUAGUCCACGCUGUAAACGAUGAUUACUAGGUGUGGGGGGACUGACCCUUCCGUGCCGCAGUUGACACAAUAAGUAAUCCACCUGGGGAGUACGGCCGCAGGUUGAAACUMAAGGAAUUGACGGGGCCCGCACAGCAGUGAGUAUGUGGUUUAUUCGAAGCACGCGAGAACUUACCAGGUCUUGACAUCGUAUGCAUACCWWGARAWUGGAAAUCCCUUCGGAAMUWUAGACAGKUGGUGCWGGUAUGCGAAUUCRCAACUGGCGGCGUUACUAUGGAUCURAAUYMGKACCAGACU
This 1062-nucleotide ribosomal RNA is filed under the name uncultured Bacillota bacterium. RNAcentral's name for it is "bacterial SSU rRNA". The record is from RNAcentral. Lineage: Bacteria; Bacillati; Bacillota.